Molecule: long non-coding RNA, 1283 nt
Organism: Ictalurus punctatus (channel catfish)
Lineage: Eukaryota; Metazoa; Chordata; Actinopteri; Siluriformes; Ictaluridae
Exons: 4
Source: RefSeq, a predicted model, not a curated record
UAUGGAUAUGACGUGAUUGUACCGAGUGGGUGGAGCUUAAGAGUUCUUCAGAGUGGCUUAGUUUGAACUUUUCGGAUGAGUUUGGAUUUUUUUAUUGUUCCAGUUUAAAAGAAGACAUCUUAUACAGUUGUACAUGAUUGACGUCAGGUGAUCUACAGCAGAUCUUGCUCCACCCACACCGUUUUCUUCUGCUCUUCCAGGAUCUUGUCCUUAAUGAGCCUGAGGAGCUCCUCCACCCCGCUCCAGGAGUCGGGUUCCACGGUGGCAUAGAGACACGGCAGGGCUUCCAGCUCUUUCUCCUUAGCACGGCACAUCUUCAGGAAAUCCUCCUCCUGAGGGAAGGAGUCCACCUUCAGAAGCAGCCUCCUGCAAAACGUUCAGUGACGUACAGUAUGUCUUCAGCAAACCAUCAACAGAAGCUGAGCAGAAAUGAACUUUGAUUGAUGUACUCUUAGAAGAAAAAGUCUAUGAGUAGUGGAAUCUAUUGAUCAUAAAGCUAUUAUAUGAGCCUUCAGACCCAUGGGUGAGAAUGAAACAAAGCAGACUGGAUCUGUCAUGCUUACCCUCAGGCUUCAUGGUUUCAAAGCCCGAUUUGGGAAGAGAUGACAGAUUGCCAGCGUUGAGGAUGCGCACACGAUCAUUGCUGUCCAUCCUCUUGUACUUGUUAUCUGCCCUGCUGACAAACUGACACCAAGGAUCUCGAUCAAUCUCUGCAGCACACAGCCAUCAUCUUUACCCAGACCUACUCUCUCAUCCUGUCUAAGUCAGGCCAGAGGCACAGUUUUACCUGCAGGAUCUGACAGAUGAAGAUGCUGGCUCUGGACAGGCGUGGACUGCACUUAGGGUCUGAUGGAGCAGCUUCCUCAGGCUGCAACGUAUUCUGAGGACAAAAAAGGGGAAAAAAACCCACCCCACGAUUGUAUUGGGAUUCACGCUCGGCUGCACUUUGUUCCAUUAUGUUUUUGCCAAAAAAAACUGAAGCAAUUGUCUAACCCUAAGUCCCCUCAGACUAUCUGUCUCUUCUCGGCUGCCACGACACAUCAGCUUCUGGAUCUUCACCAGGAGAAGUUGCUGGGCCCUGAGGGAGAGGAAGGACGACAGCUGUAUGACAGCCGUGUUCAUACUCUGACCUGCUGUAGCUGGGGAUGGUGCCCUUCUCCAGGUCCUUGUCGGUAUACGGGUCUACACGCGCACACAGCCACUCACACUUGCCCUGGUACCGUGUGUCCAAAACAUGGAGCACUUCGUCACACCGGACGCUCAGUGAGCAGCUGUCUAACUGG